UUAGAUCUGAGAGGUGGAUUUAAUACUCACGAACCUAAAAGCAUUUUUAAUCUUGCAGUUAUUCUAGCAAAUGAACCGGUCGAUUUACUUCUAUUACCUGGGCUUGCAUUUGACAGAUCAGGGCUGCGCUUGGGCCGUGGCGGAGGUUACUAUGACACCUUCCUGAUGAGAUACCAAGAGCUUGCAAAGGAGCGGAACUGGAAGCAACCUCUCUG
This is a long non-coding RNA of Diospyros lotus (date-plum), 215 nucleotides long. RefSeq lists it as uncharacterized. The transcript has 3 exons. NCBI's taxonomy places the organism in Eukaryota, Viridiplantae, Streptophyta, Magnoliopsida, Ericales, Ebenaceae. The record is from RefSeq and is a predicted model, not a curated record.